This 862-nucleotide unclassified non-coding RNA is filed under the name Hevea brasiliensis (rubber tree). The record is from RNAcentral. Lineage: Eukaryota; Viridiplantae; Streptophyta; Magnoliopsida; Malpighiales; Euphorbiaceae.
CAAAUUUUCUGCCAAAGCACCUUCUCGAGGAGCUCCACAGUCCGCCUACUCAACCUAAGCAAAAUGGCAACGCCGGGACCGAACUUCGAGGGGAAUCCUCCAGUGGCGCCGCAACCGCCUGGGACGGACAUGACGGGGAUAUGCUUCAGAGACCAGCUAUGGCUGAACACCUACCCUCUCGAUCGAAACUUGAUAUUCGAUUACUUCGCGUUGUCCCCUUUUUAUGAUUGGACUUGCAAUAACGAGAAGCUUCGAUUACAGUCCAUUCACCCCCUCGAUCUCUCCCAGCUCACGAAAAUGACGGGCAUAGAAUACAUGCUGAGUGAAGUGAUGGAACCAAAUCUCUUUGUUAUUCGUAAACAGAAAAGGGAUAGUCCUGAGAAAGUCACACCAAUGCUGACUUAUUAUAUCUUGGAUGGAUCAAUAUACCAAGCACCGCAGCUUUGCAAUGUCUUUGCAGCUCGAAUUGGACGAGCUCUUUAUUAUAUAUCAAAGGCCUUUACUACUGCUGCUUCAAAGUUGGAAAAGAUUGGAUAUGUUGAUGAAGGGGAGGGUGUGCCUUCUGAGUCAAAAGCUGGUAAAGACGUGAUUGACUUCAAGGAAGUUAAGCGAAUAGAUCAUAUCCUUGCCUCCUUACAGCGCAAGUUACCACCAGCCCCUCCACCACCACCAUUUCCAGAUGGCUAUGUUCUUCCAACAACAGAAGCAGAGAAAGGUGCUGAAACCCAGCAAGGAGUAGAGUCACAACCCUCUGUUGAUCCAAUCAUCGACCAAGGCCCUGCCAAGCGAAUGAAGUUUUGAAUUACAAAGCUUUUGUUUUUCUCAUUAGAAAGCAGAACUAUCCAUCCAAGGAACGGAAAUU